AAGUCGUAACAAGGUUUCCGUAGGUGAACCUGCGGAAGGAUCAUUAAAGAGACGAGCUCCGCGCUCCAGGGGUUCGCCCCCGCCUCUCAACCCUGUGUAAAUCAUACCUAUGUUGCUUUGGCGGGCCUUGAGGUCAUGCUCAUGCCGAGCGUCAGCCCGGCGAGUGCCCGCCGGAAGCCCCACCAAAAUUCGUUUAAUUUAUGCCGUCAGAGUCUAAACACAAAUAAAGCAAAA
This 234-nucleotide unclassified non-coding RNA is filed under the name plant metagenome. RNAcentral describes it as "partial contains small subunit ribosomal RNA and internal transcribed spacer 1". The stretch from base 1 to 46 matches the Rfam family "Eukaryotic small subunit ribosomal RNA", at positions 1786 to 1831 of the family's 1831-position model. The record is from RNAcentral.